RNAcentral lists this long non-coding RNA (713 nucleotides) under Homo sapiens (human). Its description in RNAcentral is "HSALNT0203952". Lineage: Eukaryota; Metazoa; Chordata; Mammalia; Primates; Hominidae. The record is from RNAcentral.
UGACCUCAUUCAAACUUAAUUACCUCCAUGAGGAUCGCAUCUCCAAAUACAAUCACAUUCCAAGCUCAAGACUAGCAAACAUAGUGUUUGAAGAAGCUUGAGUGGAAGCUUCAAGACUUAUGACCAAGAUUAGAAGUCCUGGAAUGUCACUUCUACCAUUUUCUACUGCUCAAGAAAGUCACUAAGACCAGCCCAAAUCCAAGGAGAGAGGAAUUAGAUUUCAACUCUCAACAGGAGAAGUACCAUACUAAAGACUAUAUGACCAUCUUUGGUAAGGUUGACUGGCAGGUCUUCUGCUCCAUGCUGUAUCAACUGGGGUCACACAAAUAUAAUUAGUUGGUGGCUGGGCUGGGUCUAGAAGAUUGAAAAAGACCCCCCUUAUACAUCUGGUGGCUCAGCUGGGGUGGUUUGAGUGGCUGGAGCACCUCGGUCCUCUUCCAGAAAUAACGCCUUUCAGGAGCACAAGAGUUGAUGAAAGAAAACACUCUCAAAGUCAAGUUUGCUGUAGCCUGUAUACCUGAAAACGGUGGGCUUGAGAGGCCGGGAAGAGAAAGAAAGAAGAGGGAUAGUAACAACCUAAACAGCAAAGACUUGGAACUUGAAAUUAAAAAGAUAUACACCUAUCUAUGUAUUUCUGAUAUGUUUGUCAUAAUUUCAACCAAAGUUCAUGAUCUAUAGAAUUUUGCAUAAAUAAAAAAUAUCAUUUGGUUAGU